GCCAGACUCCUACGGGAGGCAGCAGUGGGGAAUAUUGCACAAUGGGGGGAACCCUGAUGCAGCGACGCCGCGUGGGUGAAGGAGUACUUCGGUACGUAAAGCCCUAUCAGCAGGAAAGAAAAUGACGGUACCUGACUAAGAAGCCCCGGCUAACUACGUGCCAGCAGCCGCGGUAAUACGUAGGGGGCAAGCGUUAUCCGGAUUUACUGGGUGUAAAGGGAGCGUAGACGGCAGUGCAAGUCCGGAGUGAAAGCCCGGGGCUCAACCCUGGGACUGCUCUGGAAACUGUAAAGCUGGAGUGCGGGAGGGGCAGGCGGAAUUCCUGGUGUAGCGGUGAAAUGCGUAGAUAUCACGAAGAACCCCGAUUGCGAAGGCAGCUUACUAAACUGUGACUGACAUUGAUGCUCGAAAGUGUGGGUAUCAAACAGGAUUAGAUACCCCCGUAGA
RNAcentral lists this ribosomal RNA (447 nucleotides) under uncultured bacterium. RNAcentral's name for it is "bacterial SSU rRNA". It matches the Rfam family "Bacterial small subunit ribosomal RNA", at positions 330 to 794 of the family's 1533-position model. The record is from RNAcentral.